Molecule: ribosomal RNA, 674 nt
Filed under: uncultured Staphylococcus sp.
Lineage: Bacteria; Bacillati; Bacillota; Bacilli; Caryophanales; Staphylococcaceae
Description: bacterial SSU rRNA
Rfam family: Bacterial small subunit ribosomal RNA
Source: RNAcentral
AGUCGAGCGAACGGACGAGAAGCUUGCUUCUCUGAUGUUAGCGGCGGACGGGUGAGUAACACGUGGAUAACCUACCUAUAAGACUGGGAUAACUUCGGGAAACCGGAGCUAAUACCGGAUAAUAUUUUGAACCGCAUGGUUCAAAAGUGAAAGACGGUCUUGCUGUCACUUAUAGAUGGAUCCGCGCUGCAUUAGCUAGUUGGUAAGGUAACGGCUUACUAAGGCAACGAUGCAUAGCCGACCUGAGAGGGUGAUCGGCCACACUGGAACUGAGACACGGUCCAGACUCCUACGGGAGGCAGCAGUAGGGAAUCUUCCGCAAUGGGCGAAAGCCUGACGGAGCAACGCCGCGUGAGUGAUGAAGGUCUUCGGAUCGUAAAACUCUGUUAUUAGGGAAGAACAUAUGUGUAAGUAACUGUGCACAUCUUGACGGUACCUAAUCAGAAAGCCACGGCUAACUACGUGCCAGCAGCCGCGGUAAUACGUAGGUGGCAAGCGUUAUCCGGAAUUAUUGGGCGUAAAGCGCGCGUAGGCGGUUUUUUAAGUCUGAUGUGAAAGCCCACGGCUCAACCGUGGAGGGUCAUUGGAAACUGGAAAACUUGAGUGCAGAAGAGGAAAGUGGAAUUCCAUGUGUAGCGGUGAAAUGCGCAGAGAUAUGGAGGAACACCAGUGGC